AAGGGCUUAGCUUAAUUAAAGCGGUUGUUUUGCGUUCAAUUGAUGUGAGAUAUGUUCUUGCAGUCCUUA
RNAcentral lists this transfer RNA (69 nucleotides) under Ursus arctos (brown bear). Its description in RNAcentral is "tRNA-Ala". It matches the Rfam family "tRNA". From Rfam's summary of the family: Transfer RNA (tRNA) molecules are approximately 80 nucleotides in length. Their secondary structure includes four short double-helical elements and three loops (D, anti-codon, and T loops). Lineage: Eukaryota; Metazoa; Chordata; Mammalia; Carnivora; Ursidae. The record is from RNAcentral.